Molecule: long non-coding RNA, 16724 nt
Filed under: Musa acuminata (dwarf banana)
Lineage: Eukaryota; Viridiplantae; Streptophyta; Magnoliopsida; Zingiberales; Musaceae
Description: long non-coding RNA (MACU_LNC006666)
Source: RNAcentral
GAUUUGAUAAAAGUGAACAACAAAAAUAAUAUUACUAAACUCACACAUUAUAUUGAUAUCGCUAUUAAUGAUCUUAUAGAAUAAUCACAAUUGACAUCCUUAUGAAUAUCUUAAAGAGAAAGGAAUUAUAUCAUUUACGGUUAUUAUGUAGUAUAUUUACAAGAAUUAUAUUAUGAUAUAAGAAUCAGAAUGGAUCCCUUAUUAUUUUCACAGGUCAUGAAAAGUAAUGAUUCUGAAAAGUAAUAUGAUGCAAUAAAAGAUGAGUUAAAAUCAAUAACUAGAAUGGUGUUUGAUAAAUUUAUCGAAUUAUCCAAUAACUGUAAAAGAAUCUAUUAUAUAAAUGUGAUUCAAAGGAUAUUAUCAAACGAUAUAAUGGUCAGACUUCUACUUAAAAGUUGUACUCAUAAAAAAUGUAUCGAUCAUAACGAGAUAUUUAGUUUUUAUUUAACUCAUUAAAAAUCGUCAUGAUAUUAGUGAUUUAUUAUGAGUUUGAGUUAUAUCAUAAUGAUAUGAAAACAUUUUUUUUUUUAAGGAUCUAGCUUUAUAUGGGUUACUAUAAAUGAUUUCCAAAAAAAUGAAAGAAAUAUAAAAUUUGGCAUGCAAAUUCAAGAAUUCAUUUAUGACAUUAAACAAGCUUCAAGAUAAUGAUAUAUAAAAGUUCUUGAUAUCAUUAUUUCUUCAAAUUUAAGGUAAAUACUAUUGAUCAGUAUUUAUAUCAGUGAGAGCAAGUUUAUUAUAUUGGUCUUAUAUAUAGAUAAUAUUUUACCUUACCAAUAAUGAUUUUGGUUUAUUAUAAUAUAUCAAGAAAUUUAUCACUAAGAGUUUUUAGAUAAUUGAUAUGAAUGAGAUAUCUUAUAUUAUUAAGAUUGAGUAAUUCAAGGAUAGACCUCAACGAUUGUGAAAACUAUCUUAGAAAAGAUAUAUCAACCGAGUCUUGAAAAGAUUUAAUAUGCAGCUUUGUUUAGUAAAUCAUAAAAAUAAAAUUUUAGUCAAUAGUAAAUACUUUAAAUGACUUGAAAACAAUCAGAUAAAGAAAAUAGUCUUUGUAUAUGCACAGUUGGAAGUCUAUGCUCAAGUUUAUGUCAAAACAUAUAUCAGUUUUAUAGUUAAAAUACUAGGUAUAUAUUGGAGUUACCCAGAAGUAAAAAUAUUAAAAGACUACAAAGAAAGUAAUAAGAUAUCCAGAAGGGACAAAGGAUUAUAUGCUCAGAUGUAUGAAAUUAUAUCAGCUUGAAAUGAUGGCAUUUUUCAGACGUUGAUUAUAUAAGUUGCCUCGAUAAUAAGAAGUUCACCUUACGAUUAAUAUAUGUAACAAUUAGAGAGGUAAUUUAUUAUUAUUAAUAAUAGAAGUUGAUUUUGUGACAUGCAUUGAAGCUACUGAUCAAACUUUUUUACUACGAAAUAUCAUCUCAGAACUUGGUGUAGUCAGACUUAAUUGUCAAGUCGUUAAAGAUAUUUUAUGAUAUUAUAGUAAUUUUCUUCUCUAAAAAUGAUAAGUACUAUUGCAUCUCUAUGCAUUAUGGUAUAAAGUACUUAAUGGUUAGAGAAUAGGAGUCCAGAAACAUCCAGUAUCAAUUAAUUGCUUGAGUUUCACUAUAUUAAUUGCUGAUCCAUUCACUUAGGACUUACAGCUUUAGUAUUUUGAAAAAACAUAUUCUUAUGAUUGGGUUUGUGAGCAAUCCAUAAAGGAUAUAGUGAUAUAUGUUUGAGUGGGUACUAUAAUUAACAUUCUUACUUACGUACUUAAAGUUAUUUGUUUAUGCUAUCUUGUUCACAAUUAUGUAUGUACAUAUUAUGGUUGAAUGUGAUGACUGGAUUGUCAUGACAAGAUAAAUUAUAUGGGUUAUUUUAGACUGCACUAGGAAAGACUAACAGUGUUGUGGAACAUAUAAUGAAGUGUGAUACUUAUGACAUACAACUGCUAUGACUCGUAUUAUUAAUCAAACUUAAUAUAAUAUUAUUAUAUUUAUUGGACUUAUUAGCCUAUCUUUUAAAAUUCGCGUGCGUAUAUAUAGUUUUUCUAAAAUUUUAUAAUCCAUUUGAGUCAAAUUAUUUUUAAAUAAAUUUUAUUUAUUUAUUUUUGAUUUUAAGUCAUUUUGUACCUUACUAAUUAAUGGGCCAAGUAAGAGAAUAUUAGAUUAUGUGACCCUAUUUACUUAGGUAAGAUAUAUUAUAGAUAUGAUUAAAUUCUGAUUAUGGUUAUUGGCUAAUAGAAAAGAAGUUUAUAUUAUAGUAGGAUUCCUUAGGGGAUGCCCUUGAUGGGAGGAAUUCUCCUAAUAACUUAUCCUAGACCCAUUGCUCUUGCCUAUAAAUAGACAGGACCUCUAGGGGCUAAACAGAGGCAUCUCAACACAGUUAAGAGAUUAAGAGUUUUCUCUUAAUCUCCCUAAUCCAUCAAUCUAAGUGAUCCUAUUAAAAGAUAGGGAGAAAAGAGAAUGAGUGUUUAGUUCUCCUUGCAUAUUGAUAUCUCAGAUCCGAUGAUGAUUUGUAUAAUAAAAUUUAUUCUUCUGAAUAGUAACGAAAGGUACGCAUCGUAUUAUUGUUUAGAUCCAUUAUUAUUUGAUUUCAGAUUUUGACAUAAAAGUUUGUCCGCAUAGCAUAAUUACAGAUUUUAUGCUAAUAAUAAUAUUUUUAUAUUAUUUUAUAAUGUAUUUCUGGUAUUACUAAAAAUACUAUAACACAAUGUAAAAAUAUUAUAAUUGGAUCCGUCUGUAGGAAAAGAAAGAAAAAAAAAUGAUAUUUCAAGUUUUAGGCAAAAAAUAAAGUAUCAUUUGGGAAUUUUAAAAAUAGGUGUCGCUUCUAAAAAAAGAUGAUUUUCCUUCCCAGUAUAUAUAUAUAUAUAUAUAUAUAAAGAGUGAGAGAGAGAGAUCAAAUAUCUUAAAUUCUUUAUUGCCUCCUACUGUCUCUCCCUUUUCCAUAUCCUAAAAUGACUGGUUUCAGAACUUGACAGAGCUAGAAGAAGGUUAUUUGGAUUGGUUUUGCAGUGUACAAGAAGAGAAAAAAAAAAUUGGAGGACUGGCAAAUUAUAAUAUCAUAUUAGGAGAAUAAAAUAGUGAAGGUUUUUCUUUUUUAAUUAAAAAUUAUCAUUAACAAAAUAUUUUUUUUCUUUCAUAUAAUGUUCAAGAAAUGGUGGUGGAUGUGAUGAGUUUUGACAAUUGCAUGCUUCAGCAUAUGAGGUACUCCUUCAAGAAAACUUCUCUCAAAGAAAAUGAUGCUGAUUUAUUAUCUUUUUCUUAUAUCUUCCUUCUUUAAUGAUUUCUCUUGCUAAGGUCAUAUAAAACUAUUAUUCUCAAGUUUUACGGGCCUUUUACUACUUGAGAUGCAAAGAUAUAAGUUAAAAAACCUACUAAUGAUAAGCUUAUUGUAAAUGUAUAUCGAUGUAUGAACACAUGGUAUAUCAUUUAAUGAAAACAAACACUCAAGAGAGAGGAAGAAGAUAGAGAUGUUAGAAGAGAAUGAAAGAUACAAAUUAUAGAAGAAGUUGUAUUUCUUAUUGAGAUAUUCUUCCUAUUUAUACAGGUUAGGAGGGAGGAUUUUCCACAACAGAGUAGCGAGAUUUCAUGAGUAAGUCUGCUAAUUGAUCAGUCAUAUGUACAUAAGAAAUACGUAGUUGACGUCGGACAACUUGAUCUCGCAGAAAAUGGAAGUCGAUAGCAAUAUGUUUCAUGCGGGAGUGGAACACCGGAUUAGCGCAUAGAUAGGUAGCUCCGACAUUAUUACAAUAUAUUGUAGAAAUAGAAGUGGAAUUGAUGUUAAGUUCCUUGAGCAGAUUUGUGACCCAAUUGAGUUCUACAGUGGCAGUGGCGAUCGCAUGGCAUUCAGCUUCAGUUGAAGACCGUGCGAUUGUCUUUUGCUUCUUAAAACUCCAAUUGAUUGGAUUAGCUCCAAGGAAGAUAAUAUACUCUGAUGUGGAUGUUCUAUCAUCAAAGUUGUUUGCCCAAUCAACAUCGACAAAGGCAUGAAGAUGAAAUGGAGAGUGUUUACGAAAAAAGAGACCAUGAUUGAGUGUUCAUUUAAGAUAUCGCAGGAUUCGUUUAACUACAGACCAAUGCAUAGUAGAUGGUCUCUGCAUAAAUUGUGAUAAUUUAUUGACGGCAAAUGAGAUGUCUGGAUGGGUGAGAGCUAAGUAUUGUAAAGAGCCAACUACUUGUCGAUAUUGAGUGGGUUUCGUAGCAGUACUUCCAUUAGAUAAUUUGAGAGAUUCAUUAGCAGAGAGGGGAGUUAUAACCGUAUUUGCAUCUUGCAUAUUUGUCUUUGAUAAUAAAUCUUGAAUAUACUUUCUUUGUGAUAGGAAGAGACCUGAAGAUGUAUAUGUUGCUUCUAUGCCCAAAAAGUAGUUCAAGGUUCCUAGAUCUUUAAGGGAGAAUCGAUCUACCAAUUACUUAAUGAAUGCUUGGAUCUCUAUAAGAUUGUUGCCUAUGACAAUAAUGUCAUCUACAUACACCAAAAUAUAUAUUAUGUCUCCAUGUUGUUGUUGUAGAAAUAACGAGGUAUUAUACUUGGAGUUAAUAAAGUCAACUGAAGUCAAAAAAGAGCCAAAUUCAGUGUACCUCUUGGAGCCUGACGAAGUCCAUAAAUAGCUUUUUGAAGUUUGCAAACAUGCCUUGGAUACUGAGGAUGAAUGAAACCAAAAGGUCGUUGCAUAAAAACACCUCCAGUUAGAGUCCCUUGUAAAAAGGUAUUAUUAACAUCCAAUUAUCGUAAUUGCUAGCCUUUAGUGGUGGCCAGACUCAAGAUAAGUCAGAUUGUUGUGGGCUUAACAAUGGGACUAAAUGUCUCAGUGAAAUCAACUCCAGGUCGUUGAUAAAACCCUUUGGCAAUAAGAUGUACUUUGUAUCGAGCAACAGAUCCAUCUGGGUUCCGCAUAAUUCGAAAAACCCACUUAUACCCAAUGAUGUUUUGUGUAUGAUGAAAGAGUACUAAGUUCCAUGUUGAGUUAUGGAAGAGGACAUUAUAUUUCUCACACAUGGAGUUAUGCCAGUGUGGAGAUUUUUGAGCUUGAGUAAAGGUGGUGGGUUCAAUGGUAUUAGAUGAGGAAUCUGCGAAAGCAUGUAGGUCAAGGACUUGACCUGGUUUGAAAAUAUCACUCUUGGAGCAUGUUGUUAUAGAAUAUUUGGAGACUAUGGGAUUGUGAGGUUGUGUUGUUGGAAUAAGCGGUUGAGAGUCAUUAACACAAGCCGAGUCAGGUUGAGGUACUUUAGUGUCACUUGGUCUAGAAUGAGGUAAAAAUAAUGAUUGUGUUUCUGAAUAUGUUAUCUCAUCAAUUUGAGAAGAAAAUAAUGGAGUAGUAAUAGAGGGAAUAGGCAAUUGUUGAAUUUGAGUAGUGGUAGAGUGUGAAUCCUGAGGGGAGGAACAUGUCGAUGUUACGAGAGGCUCGUCUAAUUGGAUCGGAGGUAUAUUUCAGUAAAAAAUAUUUAUUGAGGUAGUCUACAUGAUAGGAUAUACAUAGUUUUGGAAAGAAAAAAUAGACUCAAUAAAAAUAACAUGAUAUGAUAACGUGAGAUAAAGAUCAUCGAAACUGUCUAAUCAGAAUACCUGAUAGCAGAUAUAAAUGUCUCUGUGAUAGCUAUUGAUCUAUUAAUAGCAUGCCUUCAAAUUAAGAAAGAUCAUUCAUAGAAACCGUCUAAUCAGAAUACCUAAGACCAAUAAAUACUGAUCAGUACAUAUAAAUUCGAUCGAUUUUGGAGUGAGAACUGAAAGAGAGAGAGAGAGAGGAAAGAAAAAGGUCAUUCCCAUCAUAGCACUGCGGUGCAUCCAAAUCAUGUUGUUGGAUGAGCGGAACCAAACAAAACCAAUCACUGUUUCCCUCAGCACCAUGCGAUGCUGCUGAGGGGAAAUAGUGAUUGAAGCAGAGAGGGAUCAGAUGCCGCCCCCUUACCAACCAAACACUCUGGGAAAGCGAGCUCGCCCGGUGCCACUGCGCAUGUUAAAAGUGGCUUCACCUUUUCGCAGUACUGCAGCGUCCAAAGGUGGCAGCGGCCCUUCUUGCUCCCUCAGUGAUGUCUGACACCAUAUACGAAGACCACAGCAUUGUCAUACGUUGUUUGUUUGAUGAAAUGACUCGUCUCCCAUCCAUCAAUCUUCUCAAGCGUAUCAGUCUCUCUCUUGUGUUUGUUGAUGCACAACUGUGUGGAAGUUUUAUGGACAUGGCAGUGAUUCUCAUACUAUUAAGGAGAAUUGUUUUAUCUCUGCGGGAAUAGAGGAGAAAUCUCCUCUUGGUAUAGAUGAAUCUGCAAGGAUGAGGUGCACUAUGACCAGCCUUGCAGAAAUCAGAUGUUUGAAUGAAAGAGCAUGUUUUAGAGAAAGAGAGAGAGAGAGAGAGAGAGANNNNNNNNNNNNNNNNNNNNGUUCUUUUCCUGCUAGAAUUGAAGCUGCAAGGAUGAGACAAGUCUUGCAGAAAUCAGAUGUUUGAAUGGAAGAGCAUGUUCCAGAGAGAGAGAGAGAGAGAGAGAGAGAGAGAGAGAGAGAGGGAGAGGGAGUCGAUCUAAAUCCUUGCUGGUUUCCAUGGCUUUCGAAAGGGAUUGAGUUGGCAUGGCGAAGCUGAAGCUGAUGAAGGUGGCAAAGUAUUGGAGGAGGAGAAGAGAAGAUGAUGGAUGAUGCAGCAAUAGGGCAGCGCAUUCAUCAUCAUGGAGUGGAAGUCCUUGCGCAUGCAUGUAGUUGUACCACCUCAGCUUGCUUCAGGAAUCUUUGCUGAAGCACAAGCUUUGCAUUCACAGAUAGCAGUCAUCGCUUGAACAAAUCAUUGCUGCCGUCAACUCCGACAGAUUAAAUGAUCCUGCUAUAUAUAAAGAUCUAAACAACAUAUAAAAGAUACAUAGAGGGAAGAAGAUACCAAUGACAACUGCUAAAAGUAUAUACUUCCACACGAAAACAACUCACCCUCACUGGUGCUGAACACUCGAAGAACCUAUUGAAGAAGAUAAUAAUGCAGCUUCAGAAUAAAUGGAUUCUCUCAAACCACUGAAGCUUGAUUCUCUCAAGUGCAUUUCUCUCACUGAUUCUGAACAUCUAAAGAACAUAUUGAAAAAGACAACAAUCACUGAAGCUUGGUUCCCCACAAGACCAACUCUCGUUGAUUCUGAACAGCUACAAAACAUGGAAAAGGUAGAGUGAAGAAUAUAACGAUGGCAGCCACAAUAUAAAUGGAUUCUGUCGGACCACCGAAGCUUGAUUCCCAACAAAAACAACUCUCACAGUGGUUCAAGCGCAUAUGGCUCUGAGCAUCUAAGCAACAUACAAGAGAUUGAGUGAAGAAGAACACAGUGACAGCUACAGAAUAUAUGGAUGCUGUCGGACCAGCGAAGCUUGAUUCCCCAUAAAACAACUCUCGGAAUGAUGCAGAUGCAUCACCCUCAAUGAUUUGGAACAUCUAAAGAACAUAGUGAAGAAGACAACAAUGGCAGCUACAAAAUAAAUGGAUUCUCUCGGACCACUGAAGCUUUGAUUCCCCACCCAAAAAAAACCAACUCUCAAGAGUGAUUUAAGUGCAUCACCCGUCCCUCACUGAUUCUGAAAAGGUAGAGCGAAGAAGAUAACGAUGAUAGCUACAAAAUAUAUGGAUUCUACCGGACCACUGAGCUUGAUUCCCCACCCACAAGAGCGCAUUUCAAAGUGAUUCAAGUGCAACACCAUCCCUGAUUCUGAGCACCUAAACAACUUGCAAAAGGUAGAGUGAAGAAGAUAACAACGACAGCUACAAAAUAUAGGGAUUCUAUAUAUCGGACCACUGAGCUUGAUUCCCCACAAGAUCACCUCUACGAUCGAUUCUUAAGGCUCCAUAAACCCCAACAUCACCAAGGAAUGGCGCGAGUCAAGGACCGUGCAGCUCGGGCGCACGACACAACGAGUUGCUCGAUUGCAGGGAGAAGGCACACAAGCUGCUCGAGGAGGAGAAGCCAUGGCCAGGUGUGGUUGGGGAGCAGGAGAAGAUAUGGAAGCAAGAGCAGCACAGCCAAGUGUUCUUUAUAUUAGCACGAGGAAGCUAAAAGGAGUAGCAAGUGUGCACGCUUGUGUUGCUGUGUAUGGCUUGUUCGUUUGUGUUGCAAGCAUGCAAUGAUGCACUGUGAAGAUGGAGGCCCCCCGCGUCUUCUUUAACCUCGCAUGCCAUUCUUAUCUCUCUCUCUCUCUCUCUCUCUCGUUGCGGUACACAACGCAGUCACGUCUGCUGAGAUGAUAAAGAAGAAGCAGUAAUAAUAUACAUGAUGUGUACAGGAAGGAGAAGACGAAAUAAUAAUAGGGUUUGGAAAAGGGCAAGACACUUGUUGAGUUCUCUUGCGCCAUUCCUGUUGCUUCGCCUCUUGCUCGGAGAUGGUAGACGAUGACAACAUGGUGAUAAGCUUUGGCUUCCGAAAGGGCUGAAAAAAGGCUUCAGAUUGAUUGACGGCAUGGGUUGAUGCUUUUGAACUGAAGUUGUAUGUUGGGAGUGACAGACUUGGAUCUGUCGAUGUUGGUGCAUAAAAUUUGCUCGAAACUGAACACAAAUUUUGUAUUACCAAAGAGAUAUAUAUUGAAGGCUUACAUGAAAAAGGAAGAAAAUAAGCACCACCGAAAAGUAGUUUUAGGAAAACUUUGAAACUGAAUAAAAUUACCAUUUGGUAGUUUAAUCUAAUAUGAUAUAUUCGGUACACCUUUUUUUUAUGGAAUCAAUAUUUUUGAAGGAAAAAAUUAUAAGAUUUCAAAUCCUUAAAUAUGCAGCCUUCACUUUGGCUUCAGUUUCAGGUGGCAUAUUCAACACGUUUUCCUUGCUUUAAUAGUUUCAAUCCAUCACAGCUAACGUGACAAAAUCUCCUGUCAUGGCCAAGUAUUCUGCCAAAAUAAAAUAAAAUAAAAUAAACCAGCAAAGCUGUGUAAUUCCAAAUAGACCAAUCUCAGCACAAAAGGUAUGAUUGUCCAAAACAAGUGGUCUCCCGUAUAGCAAAUUCAAAAUAUAAAAAAAUUUCUGAGCAUUAAAAAGCAGAAACUAGCUUCUUUCUGGUGAUGUAGGACGACAAAUACAUUUUGUUUUUGCCUUCAUUUUGAGUAUAAACACAUGAAAACAAAAAAGAAGGCCAUCUGUGCAGCCAGCCAAAACAAUUCACCAGAUAGACCAUCCAAUGCUAGAUACAGGACAAAUAUAAGGCACCAGGGUAAUCAGGAAGCAAUAUAAGAACAUGUUUGAUGUUUCCCCAUUUAACUAGAACAAAUUGGUCCGAUACCAUCACCCCAACAGUUGAUUGCUUGGCGCCACACCAUAUAGGAAACAUUUCCUUCCAAUAGGCAGCUUCCUGAAAAUGAUAACCUGGAACUCAACCUCACAAAAAUUUAUGAGGAACAGAAUCAAACUCAUCAAAGUCGAAUCUCGGUCUUUCUUUCCCUAUCUGCAAAUCAUAGAAGAUCCAAUCAGCAACCAACAAGUUAAAGGAAGCAGAAUUGUGAAACUCACCCUUGUCAAAUAUGCAGGAUCACAUGACAUAUGUUCAUCUAGAGAACCCAGCUUCUUUGACAAUGCCAUCAACCUGCAUCCAACAAAGCACUCUCUAUAACUAGUGUGUGAAAUGCAUAAAAAAUUGGUGCUGAUGAUGAAACACAUCAACAUAAUCUUUUAAACACGUCAAGACAAUAUAUGAGGAAUCUAAGAGAAUCCAAGUUAACAUCAUAUGAGGAGUCUAAGAGAAUCCAAAGUUAUCAUCAUAUGUUCCUAUUUUGACCUUACAGAUCAAAGCCACUAUCACCUAAGUAAACCUGCACAAGAAACUAACUGUGCAAUGCUAGUGAUGACCAACAGUGCAUUGUAUUAACGGUAUGAUGUACAAGGGUCAGAAAAGAAUCAUCAAAUGCCUAAUAAGAAUAAUUGUACAUUAGAACUAUUUUUUCCUAUUGGUUUGAGAAAAAUGAGUUCAUUAGCCAAUCACUUAACUUGGAGUCUACAAAUUUAAAUCAGACACGACUGAUGUCAAUCGCUGGAUAUUCCUUUCAUGGCAUACAAGAGACACAACUAAGCAAAAUCACAAACCAAGGUAUUCUAAUGCAUGUAGAAAAAUUCUUAGUGAUAUACAGAUGCAGAUGGAGCAAAGCAAGCAUAAAAUUACUGUAAAACCAUGUCUUCUUUAAAAGACAUAUCCACUUAAGCUGCAAAGAGAAAUCUGUGUUAAUAGCCAACAGAAAAUAAAAUAAUCACCUAUUUUUUGUACUCGUGUCAUGUGAUCUUUAACCCACAGCAGACAUCUCUCACAGAAACCAAUUUGAAUUGAAACUACGACAAACAUAAACGGCACAUUUGAUAUUCUUAUCCAAAAAAGUUCUCUAACAUGGUUAUCAGAAGUCAGAACCAGAGGGGCUCGCUGAUCCAACAAGAAAACAAGGAACUAGAAGAAGCAUAAAAUGCAGGCUGACAGAAGAGGAGAAAAAGGAGACGGAGGACUAUAAGGGGGGAGCUACAGCAUGGGUCCAUCGCCAGGGCCCCACUAGGGCCCCAACUUUGGCAACCUACACUCAGAUUGUUGUAAAUGGAUUAUAAAGGAGACUAAGAGAUGAGAAAAAAGAAAACAAAAGAGAAAAAAGGGAAAAACAUAAUAUAAACGUGGAAAAUCUCCCCAAAAUAAGAAAACAAAAUAAAAGCAAGCACAAGUCGAUAUGGAAGCCAAUCCAACUAGACAUAAUGUGGUCACCCUUAGAGUUACAAAACAAGAAAGAGCUCUAUUUAUUCAGUCAAACUGAUUAUAAAUGGUUCUGCUGCUGAAUUAAUUUUCAUACUAGGAUUUAAUGAUAAUAUGGACAAGGAAGAGAUAAGUAGGUAAAAAAGAAAAAGAAGUGAGAAGCAAAUAAUAUAGAAAUAUAGGAGAAUAACAAACUGCACCAUAAGGAACUUUUGUUCCAUUCAAAGCAUUUUAGGUUUUCAGAGCCAAACAGUUCUAUUUUCACAGCCGAACACAGUCUAUGCAUAUAGUCCAGAUCUUUGUUUAUUCAAUAUCGAACCAAAUGUAAUAAAAUAUGAAAGUUUUGCACAUACCCUCUCACAAACAUGCAACCACAUGCACUACUUCCUUUAUUGAAGCCUUUUAGGAUUCUUUAAAUUCACAAAUAAGGACCAAUUUCUUCCACAAAGACAAUAGCAAUGUAUCCAACCAAUUACUUUGACAAAGAGAACAUAUCAUGUUAAAUAGCUAAUGGCCUUUUAAUUAUAAAAGAAAAUCAUAAAAAAAAAGUUAUAUACCUUACCCUAAAACUUCGCAUGACUUGACCUAACCUAAUCCUAAACCAAACAUGGUGACUUGACCUAACCUAAACCAAACAUGGUAGCAUUAGGCUUAAGAAUGAGAUAAUGGAUGUCAAACAAACGCACUUGUGAGGUCAAAAUCAACAUAAUAAAGUUGUCCUCAUAUGAAGGAGUAUUUAUUUGUUUCAUAUACAUCAGAAACUCUACCAAUACCAAGAGUAAUUUCACAGAUCGAGUAUAUACACAGGUGAUAUUUGGUGACAUCCCAUGGCCAUAUGAAAGAAAAAAGUCACAAGAAUUUCCACGAGUAGGAAAAAUGUAGCUUAUUUUAUUUAAACUCUUUUCAAACUCUAUUUUAUCAUGUGCAUCUAUAGCCUAUACACCAUGAACAUGAACUAAGCAAAUUUACACUGGAAACUAACAGCAAUCAUCGUGGUCUGGCAAGACCAAUAAUUUCACUAAUUAGUGCUUUAAGUCAUGGAUUCUAAUUGAUAAGUCCUGGAUUCCAAUCUAAUGGACUGUCUGCCCUAAGGCAAACCACAGUCCACAAGUGUAAUGUUGCAGUCCUAAGCCAAUAAUACAAACUCUAAAAACUUCAAAUAUAAGGUGCAACUGUAGAUGUGACAUGUGCUAGCAAGUAUGAUAAAACAGUUGAUUCAUCAGCAUACGAAAUCAACACAGGCAUCAAACUGGUGGACUGAUAUGAUUCCUUUUUAUAAUCUUUGACUUCCAUUUACACUAAACUAGUCAUUGACCUGUUCUUUAGAUUCCUGGAAACAGAAUGGGUAAUAGUUGUUUGCUCUUGUCAAAAAUAAGCUUGAAGUAAGGUUGCAAUUGCAAUCAAAAUAAUAGAGAAAUGAGUAGAAGGAACAAUGAACAUCAGACUCUACUUGGGAAUUAAAGCAAAAAAGGAACAGAAGAAUAAUUCAUGGUAUGUGCGCAAAGCUAUCUACAGAUCUGUAUCUAGACCAAUGACAGAUUUGUAUUUAUCACAGUUGGAAGUCUCGGAACAUGCUUGCAACAUGGAAGGGCCAUGAACAAAUGAGCGAUGCCUUUAUGGUAACUGAAACAAGUUAAACAUAAAGUGGAAGUUCAUCACAUACCUAUGUAUUGAAGAAUCAAUAUGCUCUAUCAUACCACAAGUUUUAUAUUGCUCAGGAUCCUCAUGAAAACUGACCAUUCCAUCCUUUUGGUUUAUUGUGGCAAAUAUCUCCCCGUCCUGAAUCUGUGAUCAUGAAAAAAAGAAAACUAUGCUAACCAAUCACACAUAUGUUCAUCAUUUAAAAUGGGAUCAAAUCAUGCCCAAACUUACCAUCUGAAGUACAUGCAUUUCAGCUUCCCUUGGGGUCUUCAGUUGGGCAGCAUUUGCUAUAUCUUGCAGUGAGAGGGUCAAGUAUGUCUGAGUGAGCCGUUGAAUAUUGCGCUUGUAUAGAGAAGAUAGAACUUGCUUCACUAGUCCCAGAUUGCUGUCCUGCAAAUUAGAUCAUAAAUUCAAGAUGCAACAGAGAUCACCUUAAGAACAUUAAUCUGCCAGUGUAAAUAAACCACAAGUGUAUAUUUUGAUUCUUGUAGCAAAGAUAAAAGACCAACAAGUUCCAAAUCAGCAUGUCUAAAACACAAGCAAAUGAAAAUUGACAUAAAACUUCAUGAUAACCAUAGUGCAUAAUUAGAUUGCUAAGAUACAUACACAGACUAGAGUUGCUCAAGGCAGAAGAACUCUCUAAUUUAUUAGCUUCAGCGAUAGACAUUAUAAAAUAAAUACAAUACGUACAGAUUGAAAUUUCUCUAGGUUUGUCUGGAUGCAGCCCUCUAAUUCAGAAAACGUCCCAGUGGCAUAGCAAUUAGCAAGAUCAACGUAUGGCUGCCAAAGAAAAAUCAGAGAGUACUUUAGGAGUCAUAAAAAGUUGCUCAAACAAUAUGGACUAAAGCACUACCAAUGGUUACACAAAAAACAUUUCAGUAUCAGCAUCCACAAACAUCACUCAGUAUGAUUAUGCCAUAAGCUCAGCAUAUUAAUGCACCAAACGUGCAUAUAAUCAUCAAACAUGUACUUUAAAGUAACACAAUGGAGCCAGCAACAUCAAACUUAAGACUAUACAAUAAAUUAACAAAUUAUCGUUCUAGAGCAUAAAAUAGUAAGCGGGGAACUUUGAGGAAAACUAAAGUGACAUAUCCAGGCGUUUGCCUGAAAUUUCAGCCAAAAGCCCAUUUUUGGAUAGGUAGGAAGAGAAAUAAAUUGGGUCACACUUACUGUCCUCUACCGGUUCAGUUCAUUUGAACUAUACCACCUGGGAUUACCCCAAUCGCAUGUAAACAAGUAUAUACCAAUCAAUAAAUUCCAGUGCUACUGGUAUUUUAAUCUUUCAUUUGAUCAUCCAUCACUAAUAUUCUGCAUAAAAGCUCUUAUAUCAUACUGAAUAUAUGUCAAAGUCCUACGGGAUUAAGGAAAGAUCACUGUGAAACCUUUCAAAGUUUCUAGCACUUGAAUCCUUUAAUUGCACUUUCACAAUAUACAUAUUUUGUCUCCAAUGUUUUAUCAGCACAGCAACCUCAUACGAUUACACGUUCCAACAGGAGCUGGCUAGCUAGCUUUAUGAAACUGAAACCAAAACACAUUAAAGAUACAGAAGAAAAUAGUUGAGGAUAUUACAGUUGAAAUUAAUUGCAAAAAAAGAAAAUAAAGCUAUCAGAGUAUAUUUGAACAGAAAUUAAAUUUUCUUUCAUGAUUUAUGAAAAACCUGAGUAUGGCUCUUCAAAUUCCUUUGAGCAGUUGAAGAUGUAUACUUCGGAAAUAAUGGAACCUGAUAAAGGUAAUUCAAACACUAUUCAAAAUCCACAUUUUGACAACUUCCUUUAGCAAAAAGAAAGAAAGAAAGAAAGAAAUUACAACAUGUAUAAGCAACGGAAAUAAUUACAAGUAUUUAAAAACUAACUAUAAAAAUAAUUGUUAUUUUCAAGAGAUUCUCUUGAAAUAUAAAAAACUUAAACAUUGUAUAUUCCCAACUAUUUCAUCAUUAGAAUGAAGCCGAUUUGAUAAAGUUAUGAUGUGCACAUGAUUGCUACAACCUUGGAAAAUAACAUGUCAGGCUGUUAUCAAGCAAACACUACAGAGAUCAUUGAUCUUAUUCUUUGUCCUCACCAAAUUCAUGUCUACCAAAGAGAGACCUUUUAUGUAGUUGUCUGAGGUUCCUUAGGUAAUCAACAUUCAUUUUUCUACUGAAAUCAAAGAGUCAAGUGUUCCUCGCAGAGACCUUUUAUGUAGUUGUCUGAGGUUCCUUAGGAUAAUCAACAUUCAUUUUUCUACUGUAAUCAAAAAAUUAAGUGUUUCCCACAGCAUGUAAUAUUACUACUUGCUUAUAUGCCUCCAUGACUCUUUUUCUGGGACAUGCCCCUAGGAUUACACAACAGUUACCAAACCUUAACUCCAUCAUUUUGAGCAUGGAGUAUAAAACAUCCCUGCAAAUCUCUUAGUAGCGAAAAAAUUUCCAUGGUAUAGAAGCAAAACGUAGUCAAAUAGAUAGAAUUUUAAGAUUUGAUCAACCUUUGCAACAUUUACUACACAUAUUUAGACAACCAAGUUUAAUUAUAAACUAAAUCAAGAAAACAGGUGCAAAAAGAUUUAAAUUAGGACGAUAUUAAAAUUGUAACUUUGCAGGAGCACAUAUGCAAGAAAAAAAUAAUUAAAAAACAUCAUAUAUCGGGGAAUUCAAAAGACACUAUUGAUAUCCAUCUUCCAUAGAAAUAAAGUGUUGGAUGCAUAGUAUGCGAACAGCAAAAAUGUGCUCCUUAGAUUUAUUAACAUUUGUAUUGCAAAAAUACAAACAUAUAGGAUCAAUUGAACCCAUAAACUAGUAAAGAGGAUCCACAAUCUAGUACCUCCAAGAUUAUAUCACAAACAUAUUCAAGAAAUAGAAAAUAUUUACACAAAACAAGCUCCAUGUUUCUACAAAUUUAAUGCAAGUCAAGGAUGGAUAACCUAACUCCACACUAAUUCAAAAGUAAAUCACAAGUAUAUAAGAAUAAAAAAUCUAUAUUACAAAGCCACAUGUGGGCAGGACAUCCAUAAAUAGCCCUACAUGUGAGGAAGAUAUAAACAGUUCCUACAUGUGGCAAGCACAAAACAAAGCACAAUCAAUUUAUGAAUUGUGAUAUGAAUUGCAACAAGCAGCUCACUAUUUGUGAAUACAAGUCACAACUAGAACUUCAUUUGAAAAAAUAGGUAAAUCUUUCCAAAUUUAGGCGGUUAUACUUUGACAAAUAUGGCACAAAUAUUGUUAAGACAACCACAAGGAAUGUAAGCUUAUAAUACUAGGGAAAAAAUAUUUUUUUUUCACCAAAUCAAGAGGCUUUAAAUAUUUAUUUAUAGUUUCUAUUGAAGUAAUUUUGGGUCUCCUCAACUUCUCAUUCCAGCGAGAUACUAGCUGUCUCACCUCAUCUAACCACAGCAUCUAUGUACUUCCCUAGAACAAAUUUUUAUCAUUCUCCUUCUCAUUUUAUCCUCCAUCAAAACUACACCAAGUCCUUCAUGACCAUAAACAUUUCUUUCUUUAUUUUUCCUGGAACUCCACAUCUCUAUCUCAACAUUCUCAUAUCAGCGACAAGUUAUAUUUGUUGUGAUCAGGGUCUGCAGUACCGAACUGUACCGCCCGGUACGGGUGGUAUGUAUCGGUCCGACCGGUUGCCGGUACGCGGACCGCCUGUUACCGGUCCGAGUGCACUGUAGCACUGUAGAGUGCUACAGUACUCGACACACCUGAGUGUACCACUCGGUAUACUACCGGUACCGAGCCCAGGUCAAAAUACCGGUACGGUACGGUAUUGCGAACCUUGGUUGUGAUAGUGAAUAUAUCACAUACUACAUUAUAUUACAAUAACCAAUGAGUCAAACACUAUGGUAUUGCUGGAUAAUGAAGCAUUAUAGAAGCUAGAGAUCCUUUGAGGAAACAGAAAUCAAAACAAUAUAAAAGAAAUUAAAUCAUUAUACUGAACCAUAUUCAAGGUCCAAAAAACCAAUAACAUUCCUAGUCUGGAAGCCAGAACAAUUUGCAGGUAAAACCAUGCUUGCACAACAUACUGGUAGGAGUCGGUGAUGAUAAAAAAUAGUCAUCAAUCCUAAACUGGUAAUAUAGCAAAUAAAUUAUUAAAACCUGCAUAACUGGCCAAAUAGUUCUCAGUUUGUUGUCUUUCGCACUUCAAAUUAACAUACAUAGGUAACUAUUAUCUGGCCACAUUUAUCAAGUUUCUAACUCCAAAUUGUUGUUGUGUAUCCUUAAGCCCAGUUUAACAUAAGCAGGAACUUAACUCCAAAUUGUUGUUGUUCAUAGCAAUAGAAGGAUUCUUGAGAUUCUAAUCAGCCUCUUCCCUCCCAUAUUCCUGCUAAUUUUCAGGGCCCUGCCCAUGUUGCUUGUCAUUUAUCAAUAAUCAAAAGAUAUAUUUCGUCACAGGUUGUGUGAUAUAUCUUGAUAAAAGUUCCAGUCUCAGAGUAGAUGGAUGUUUUUACUAUACAGAUUAUCAUUUUUUAUGUUUAACC